GCAUAAUCACUUGCCUUUUAAUUGGAGGAUAGAAUGAAAGGAAACACGAAAUUUUUUCUAUAUUAUCUUUACCAAAUAAAAAUUACCCUUCAGGUGAAGAUCCCUGAAUAAACUUGAAAGACAAGAAGACCCUGUAGAGUUUUAGUAAAAACAUUUACUAAAUGACCUACACUUUUGUUGGGGCGACAAAGGAUUCAUAAACAUCCUACUACUCUUACGACUUUAUCCCUCCCAUCGCUGAUCCUUAAUUUAAAGAUAGAGAGAAUAAACUACCUCAGGGAUAACAGGCUAAUCUUUUUCCAGAGUUCACAUCUAAAAAAAGUUUGGCACCUCGAUGUUGGCUUAGAGACUCUUCUUACUGCAAAAGGUAAUAAAUGAUAGUUCGUUCAACUAAUAAUUCUCU
RNAcentral lists this ribosomal RNA (403 nucleotides) under Polynoidae sp. 314 PB. RNAcentral's name for it is "partial 16S ribosomal RNA". It matches the Rfam family "Bacterial large subunit ribosomal RNA", at positions 1959 to 2597 of the family's 2925-position model. Lineage: Eukaryota; Metazoa; Annelida; Polychaeta; Phyllodocida; Polynoidae. The record is from RNAcentral.